Molecule: long non-coding RNA, 304 nt
Filed under: Elaeis guineensis (African oil palm)
Lineage: Eukaryota; Viridiplantae; Streptophyta; Magnoliopsida; Arecales; Arecaceae
Description: long non-coding RNA (EGUI_LNC074590)
Source: RNAcentral
CCAGGGAGUGAUGGAGCCGCGUGGGAUCCAUCGCAAGAAGUAGAGCAGAGUCAUGGCCGUUACUGAGGGCUGUCAGGGAGUGGUGGAGCCGCACGAAAUCCGUCGCAAGAAGUGGAGCAGAGUCGUGGCCGAAACUGUGGCCUGCCAGGGGGUCCAAGCUUGUCGGUCGAAGUUCGGCUGGAGUGUCUGGCGGAGAGAGGUGGCUAGCUACUCGUCUGAGAGGAGCUCGGAGUCUGGCUCCCAUAGGAGUCCGGAUGAAGUCUUCCUUCAGUCGAAGUCGGGGAUGAAGUCCGGCUCCCGUAGG